RNAcentral lists this ribosomal RNA (439 nucleotides) under uncultured bacterium. RNAcentral describes it as "partial 16S ribosomal RNA". It matches the Rfam family "Bacterial small subunit ribosomal RNA", at positions 339 to 795 of the family's 1533-position model. The record is from RNAcentral.
CUACGGGUCGCUGCAGUGAGGAAUAUUGCACAAUGGGGGGAACCCUGAUGCAGCAACGCCGCGUGGAGGAUGACGCAUUUCGGUGUGUAAACUCCUUUUAUAUGUCAAGAAAAUGACGGUAGCAUAUGAAUAAGCACCGGCUAACUCCGUGCCAGCAGCCGCGGUAAUACGGAGGGUGCAAGCGUUACUCGGAAUCACUGGGCGUGAAGGACGCGUAGGCGGGUUGGAAAGUCAGGUGUGAAAUCCUACAGCUUAACUGUAGAACUGCACUUGAAACUUCUAAUCUAGAGUAUGGGAGGGGGAGAUGGAAUUAGUGGUGUAGGGGUAAAAUCGGUAGAUAUCACUAGGAAUACCUAAAGCGAAGGCGAUCUCCUGGAACAUUACUGACGCUAAGGCGUGAAAGCGUGGGGAGCAAACAGGAUUAGAUACCCGCGUAGUC